AAAAACGGAAGGAAACUUAACAAGGCUGCCCAGAAUAGGACGCAACACGACCGAAAUCAGCGUAAACUUUCAUCGUGUUCACUACGGUGGAUGUGGAGACAGUGUCGCGGGAUGAACCGUUGUUGCUUCGCCGGAAAAUAUCAAACUGCAGAUGAUAACCCCUUGGAUGCUGGAAUCUUCAUCCAAUCUUGAUCAGUACAUCUGAUCAGAUGGCCAUUUCCGCACUGCUUCCUGUCCCUACUAAGUUCAGAUCCUGUUCCUGGGUGGUGCAAUCAUUAGUGGAUAUGUUCUGAAACAAUGCCAGCUGGCACAUCAGCUUUUGUGGUUUUUGG
Scomber scombrus (Atlantic mackerel) is the source of this 332-nucleotide long non-coding RNA. RefSeq lists it as uncharacterized. NCBI's taxonomy places the organism in Eukaryota, Metazoa, Chordata, Actinopteri, Scombriformes, Scombridae. The record is from RefSeq and is a predicted model, not a curated record. The transcript is spliced from 3 exons.